This 235-nucleotide ribosomal RNA is filed under the name uncultured Actinomycetales bacterium. Its description in RNAcentral is "partial 16S ribosomal RNA". It matches the Rfam family "Bacterial small subunit ribosomal RNA", at positions 96 to 334 of the family's 1533-position model. Lineage: Bacteria; Bacillati; Actinomycetota; Actinomycetes; Actinomycetales. The record is from RNAcentral.
UGGCGAACGGGUGAGUAACACGUGGGUGAUCUGCCCUGCACUCUGGGAUAAGCCUGGGAAACUGGGUCUAAUACCGGAUAGGACCAUGCUUUAGUGUGUGUGGUGGGAAGUUUUUUCGGUGUAGGAUGAGCCCGCGGCCUAUCAGCUUGUUGGUGGGGUAAUGGCCUACCAAGGCGGCGACGGGUAGCCGGACUGAGAGGUUGGUCGGCCACAUUGGGACUGAGAUACGGCCCAG